Molecule: ribosomal RNA, 360 nt
Filed under: uncultured bacterium
Lineage: Bacteria
Description: bacterial SSU rRNA
Rfam family: Bacterial small subunit ribosomal RNA
Source: RNAcentral
GACGAACGUUGGCGGCGUGCCUAAUACAUGCAAGUCAACUGAAGCAAGGUAGCAAUAUCUUGUGGAGGUGGCGCACGGGUGAGUAACACGUAGGUAAUCUGCCUUCAGGUCUGACAUAACUCCGGGAAACCGGAGCUAAUAGCAGAUGAUGCAGCGGCUUGACAUCAAGACAGUUGUUAAAGCUUCGGCGCCUGAAGAUGAGCCUGCGUCUGAUUAGCUAGUUGGCGGAGUAAUAGCCCACCAAGGCGACGAUCAGUAACUGGUCUGAGAGGAUGAUCAGUCACACUGGAACUGAGUCACGGUCCAGACUCCUACGGGAGGCAGCAGUAAGGAAUAUUGCUCAAUAGGGGGAAACCCGUA